RNAcentral lists this small RNA (169 nucleotides) under Anas platyrhynchos platyrhynchos (common mallard). RNAcentral's name for it is "TUC338 (ENSAPLG00000026536.1)". The record is from RNAcentral. Lineage: Eukaryota; Metazoa; Chordata; Aves; Anseriformes; Anatidae.
UGAGCAGGCUGGGAGACUGAAUUUCUUUAUUCACAGAAGAGAUUCAGCAGAGGCAGUGACAAUGCUCACUUCCCCUAGAUGGUUCUUUCAAAGUGCCUUCAUGCUCUGUCACCGUCUCUGAGACGUUAAAGGGCAGAUCAGUCACAAUGUUUCCUGAUUCCUUGCCCUU